UGCCCAAAGGAAGAUUUCAGUAGCCAACAGGU
RNAcentral lists this non-coding RNA (32 nucleotides) under Homo sapiens (human). The record is from RNAcentral. Lineage: Eukaryota; Metazoa; Chordata; Mammalia; Primates; Hominidae.